UUGAACGCUGGCGGCAGGCCUAACACAUGCAAGUCGAGCGGAUGAAGAGAGCUUGCUCCUGGAUUCAGCGGCGGACGGGUGAGUAAUGCCUAGGAAUCUGCCUGGUAGUGGGGGAUAACGUCCGGAAACGGGCGCUAAUACCGCAUACGUCCUGAGGGAGAAAGUGGGGGAUCUUCGGACCUCACGCUAUCAGAUGAGCCUAGGUCGGAUUAGCUAGUUGGUGGGGUAAAGGCCUACCAAGGCGACGAUCCGUAACUGGUCUGAGAGGAUGAUCAGUCACACUGGAACUGAGACACGGUCCAGACUCCUACGGGAGGCAGCAGUGGGGAAUAUUGGACAAUGGGCGAAAGCCUGAUCCAGCCAUGCCGCGUGUGUGAAGAAGGUCUUCGGAUUGUAAAGCACUUUAAGUUGGGAGGAAGGGCAGUAAGUUAAUACCUUGCUGUUUUGACGUUACCAACAGAAUAAGCACCGGCUAACUUCGUG
This 483-nucleotide ribosomal RNA is filed under the name uncultured bacterium. RNAcentral describes it as "partial 16S ribosomal RNA". It matches the Rfam family "Bacterial small subunit ribosomal RNA", at positions 30 to 507 of the family's 1533-position model. The record is from RNAcentral.